Long non-coding RNA from Pseudoliparis swirei, 249 nucleotides. RefSeq lists it as uncharacterized. The record is from RefSeq and is a predicted model, not a curated record. NCBI's taxonomy places the organism in Eukaryota, Metazoa, Chordata, Actinopteri, Perciformes, Liparidae. The transcript is spliced from 3 exons.
GCGGGCAUGGCGAAGCUCCCGGACCUGAAGGACGCCGAGGCCGUGCAGAAGUUCUUCCUGGAGGAGAUCCAGCUGGGGGAGGAGCUGCUGGCUCAGGGCUGAGCCACCUGCGCUGCAUGUGAAAAUCCUCAUAUGGACUCCUCCUUUUUUAUUUAUAUCUGUUUCUGAGCCGAUGCAUGUGCCACUCUUUGUUCUUUACGUGGCUUACUGUGUUUAAGUAAAUAAAUGUGAAAUGCAAUCUGCCUCUGA